CAAAAGGUAGCUUAUUACAAAGCCUCUCGCUUACACCGAGAAGAUGUCUACUAAACUAGGCCCCUUUGA
Molecule: transfer RNA, 69 nt
Filed under: Occidozyga laevis
Lineage: Eukaryota; Metazoa; Chordata; Amphibia; Anura; Dicroglossidae
Description: tRNA-Val
Source: RNAcentral